Molecule: long non-coding RNA, 1137 nt
Filed under: Heterocephalus glaber (naked mole-rat)
Lineage: Eukaryota; Metazoa; Chordata; Mammalia; Rodentia; Bathyergidae
Description: lncRNA (ENSHGLG00100052130.1)
Source: RNAcentral
GGAGCGGGAGCCGGAGCCGGGCUGCGUGGCCUCUGCCCGGAUGCGGGGCACCUCUCGCAGGACCCGGCUCGGGGCGCAGGGACCUCGGAGCCGCGGGGAGGACCCAGGUGGAGGCGCACGUGCCACGGCCAGGCGCCCCCCAGAAUGCGGGCGGAGAGCUCGGGGCGCCCGAAGUCUGCAGUGCGGAGUUCCGGGAACCAGAGCCUACCUGGGGCCCAUUCCGGAGGCCCAGGUACGUUGGGGCCAAACGCAGUCCCUCAGGCGGCUCCAGUGGCGAGGCCCGAGUCGGUGGGCACUGCCCCUGCCAGUACCCCCAGCCUUGACGUUUAGGGUCCAAGGCCCCCGGCCGCUUCCGGACCCAGCUCUCCAGGUUCCUCUCGGGUAGGACAGGAGCUGGCAGCCAGAGGAGAAGAUGCUGGUGACUUCCAGCCCCGAGUUUGCGCUCUGGACCCACCGCUCCCUUCCAGCCCCUUCCAGCCCCGCCAGCACCCGCACCGCGCCUUGGCCACCCUGCCUCUGCCCGGGACUUUCCCCCAGCGCAGCCGCCUUCCGCGAGACCCCGAGGGCUCUUGGGGUGGGACUGAAGGCUGGGAGACCAGGAGGCAGGCGCGGCUGGAGAGAGCCCUGGCUCUGUCGGUAAGGUCUCUCCCCCCCGCCCUCCCCCGCCGUCGGUGCUCCUACCCCGUGGCGCUCAGGCCCUCUCCCUCCACGCUUACACUCCUCCUCUGCCUCUUGAUGCCCUCUUCCUCCUUGGUGUCCCCUCUUCUGACUCCCUUUUCUCUCCCGCCUCACAUCUCCCUACACGGAAUCCGGAAUCUCGAUUCCCAGCUCACAGGUGCCAGCACGCGGCCCCUGGCGGCCAUCUGCCCCCCCCCCCCCUUACUGAGCAUCACAAGUGGGCGGAACAGGUGCUGGGACAGUGUGGCUGCUCCAAUGGCUCGGCUUUGUCUUCUCACACAGCUGUGGUUACUGCAGUUGCUGGCCAGGUCCCGAACUACAGCUCUGGGGAAUUCAGUCCCAUCCCAACAAGGGAUCACAGAUUCUGGCAGGCUCUCACUGUUCCCCGGGCUGAACCUGGACUUACGGACUCAAGUAAUGGGGACUACAGGGCCUUCACAUUGAUCUACAUUCCAGCCC